Molecule: long non-coding RNA, 243 nt
Organism: Hydractinia symbiolongicarpus
Lineage: Eukaryota; Metazoa; Cnidaria; Hydrozoa; Anthoathecata; Hydractiniidae
Exons: 2
Source: RefSeq, a predicted model, not a curated record
CAGUUAUUUAAACUGCAACUAUGGUUACUGUUAACUUUUUGUAUAUUAGGACAAAAUUAUUUAUUGCUUGAAAAUGGGUGGUUGAUGAUCAGGUGACAAAACAGUUGGCUUUCAUGAUAAUACUUGUCUAAUGACAAACGGGUAGAGGUCUAACCCUCUGAAGCCAUUAACCAACCAUAGCAGGACAACAUUCGGAGCACAAUACAAACAUUUAAAAAAACGAUAGGCACAACAACAAAAGAG